AUGCUGAAGUUCACAGAAAAUGCCGCAAAUCAAGAGGAAAUUCCAAAGAACAGUUACAUGACUGUGGCUGCUGUAUUUGUGGUAGUAGGCUCUCUUGCCAUUGAACUGCUGCUUCUCAAGCGGUUUCAAGCCAGAAGAUUCAGACAACAUGAACCCUUGAUACAAGAGGCCUCUGUUGUGCCAGAAGGUAUGUUUGAGUAUGUUAUUUGUCUACCUAAUGGAAGAGGGAUUCCUGUCCAAACUAUCAAAGUGUAUCAAAUGUAUAGUAAAAUGCACUUUAUAAAAUGUGUACAGCUCCACCAACCACCAGGAUGCCCAACACAAGAACAUUACAGGCAUUCCCGUGGUUGGCAGGCUGCGUCACAUCCGGCCCUGAUUGGGAGUCCCAUAGGGCGAUGCCCUAUGGGGGUUUGGCUGGGGUAGGCUGUCAUUGUAAAUAAGAAUUUGUUCUUAACUGACUUGCAUUUAUUUAUUUUUUUACAUUUUUUGUCAUUUAGCAGACACUCUUAUCCAGAGCAACUUACAGUAGUGAAUGCAUACAUUUCAUUUCUAAACAUUUUUCCUGUGCUGGCCCCCCGUGGGAAUCAAACCCACAACCCUGGCAUUACAAACACCAUGCUCUACCAACUGAGCUACAGGGAAGGCUAAGUUAAAUAAAAAAAAUAAGUGUUGGUAUUCCUGUUGUCCCCUAUGGAACCAGAGCCUGAGGAUACAGCAGUCCCAGCAGAGCACGACUCCAGCACCAGGACAGGACUGUUUCAAUAGCGACAGAUGUAUUAUCAGGAGUGUUAUGGGCUCUCUUCCCUGUCGGUGUCAUGUCUGCUCUGUCUCUCACGUCACACAGCUAACUGAAUGUGAAUGCUUUGCCUGGAGGAGGGAGCAAUCUGGUUCAACACUAUUCUUAUCCCCCUCUGCAGGAGAAAUGGAGUGCAUGCAUUAUCCUGCUACCAAGCUAAUUGUUAACAGCAUUGUCUGUAGUUGUUAAUCACACCAGACUGUUCUUUCAUAAUUGUUUUAUAUAUUGUAACUAAAACCUUAAAUGAGUCUAUCGAAUGCACAUAUUUAGUGGACAUUGAUUUGACAGUGAAGACACUAGUGUGAUACAGUAGCAGUGAGAGAGAAUAAAGUAGACGGCAUCGGUCAAAAUCGUGAUUUAUGACACUAUGUCAGGAAGACGCGUCCGUGCCCAAAUAAGGGCAUCCGGUCAGGACAUCCUGGUGGGAAGGUGUCACGUGGUUAGGGCCAUAUAGUUGCAUCCUGUUCUGUCACGUGUUAGAGUGUGUGUUAUUUUAUAUCUAUAUUGCAUCUAUUCCUUUGACGUUGUCAUGAUGAUUGAUGUGCAGGGACCUCGUUGAACUGGGGGGGUUGUGUUUGAACAUUUCAUAGAGGAUGACCCCACACCCCACCUAUUUUAUUGCUCUUAGGGUUGUUGUCUAUAAAGUAGGAAUGUCCGGGGGGAUUGUGUUGGCGGCAGACGCCUUAUAAAUAAAACCCAGAACAACACAUGCGGCCCCAGAACACUAAACAAGAUUUUAAAAAUAAAACCCUGAACAUUAAACAGAAAAAUAUGUCUCCUAGGCCAAUUCUCAGGGGUACUAUAAGCCUCUUGUCGCGAGCCCAAUGAUAAAAGCAUCGAGGACCUAUUGGGUGAGGCACCGGAAUGUUUUAAAGGAGCUUUGGAUACGAGUGAUGGCCAUAUGACUUACAUAUUCCAACCUGAGGAUUCAACUGUGAAGAUUUUCACAGACAGCGGCCCCAGCCCCCUUUAUCAUGCAAAACCCGGGAGUUUUUCUCCUGUGCUGCGUAUGAGAGAAUGGCUUAAGAUACGGCUAGCACUCUAUAAAAUUGAACAGGCCCUGAGUGGUACCUUUGCUGUUCUUCGCCAGAAUGCACUCCCAGGACUUGUACUUCAAUACCCAAUGCUGUUUUGGGUCCAAAUAAUCCAUAGUUAUAUCCAAAUAGCGGCGUUUUGUUGUGCGCUCAAGACACUAUCCGAAGGGUGACGAAGGGUUACGCGCCCGACGCGUUUCGUGACAAAAAAAAUCUAAAUAUUCCAUUACCGUACUUCGAAGCAUGUCACCCGCUGUUUAAAAUACAUUUUUAUGCGAUUUUUCUCGUAAAAAAGCGAUAAUAUUCCGACCGGGAGUCGUUGUUUUCGUUCAAAGACGAAAUAAUAAAAACAUGGUGUCGCCUCGUGCACGCGCCUCAGUCUCAUUGUCCUCAGAUCGACCACUAUCCAAAUGCGCUACUUUUUUUCAGCCUGGGCCUGCAAAGGCAUCAUUCAGCGUUUUGCCGCCUUCUGAGAGCCUAUGGGAGCCGCAGGAAGUGUCACGUUACAGCAGAGAUCCUCAGUUUUCAAUAAAGAGAGUGUAGAAGGCCAAGAAAUGGUCAGAGAGCGCACUUCCUGUAAGGAAUCUUCUCAGGUUUUGGCCUGCCAAAUGAGUUAUGUUAUACUCACAGACACCAUUCAAACAGUUUUAGACACUUUGGAGUAUUUUCUAUCCAAAGCUAAUAAUUAUAUGCAUAUUCUAGUUUCUGGGCAGGAGUAAUAAUCAGAUUAAAUCGGAUACGUUUUUUAUCCGGACGUGAAAAUACUGCCCCCUAUCCAUAACAGGUUAAGGGGUGGUCGAGGGAGUGCUCAGGCAGGUGUAUAGGAGUUUCCAUCGGUGCGACCACGGUGGAAAGUCCAGACCAAGUCUCCACCGUGCACAUUCCCUCUGAAUAUGCCGAUUUGGCUAUCGCCUUCAGGAAAACAAAUGCAACUCAAUUACCCCCUCAUCGAUGAGGGGAUUGUGCGAUAAACCUCCAGGCUGACGCGGCCCUUCCUAAGAGUCACGUGUAUCCUCUGUCUCAGGAGGAGACAGUGGCUAUGGAGACAUACGUCACUGAGUCUUUGAGAUAGGGAUACAUUCGGCCAUCUAAGUCACCCGUCUCCUCAAGCUUCUUUUUUGUGAAGAAGAAGGAGGGAGGUCUGCGCCCGUGCAUUGACUAUAGAGGUCUAAAUUCUAUCAUGGUGGGUUUCAGUUACCCGCUACCUCUCAUUGCUACGGCAGUGGAGUCAUUUCACGGGGCGCGCUUCUUCACCAAACUAGAUCUCAGGAGCGCGUAUAUAACCUGGUGCGUAUCUGAGAUGGAGACGAGUGGAAAACCGCAUUUAGUACCACAUCUGGCCAUUAUGAGUACCUCGUCAUGCCGUAUGGGUUAACCUCUCUAGGGCAGGUGGCACCAAAUCGUCCCACAGCCAGUUGAAUCCUGUGGCGCGAUUUUCAAAUACCUUAGAAAUGCUAUUACUUCAAUUUCUCAAACAUAUGACUAUUUUACAGCUAUUUAAAGACAAGACUCUUGUUAAUCUAACCACACUGUCCGAUUUCAAAAAGGCUUUACAACGAAAGCAAAACAUUAGAUUAUGUCAGCAGAGUACCCAGCCAGAAAUAAUCACACACCCAUUUUUCAAGCUAGCAUAUAAUGUCACAAAAACCCAGAAGACAGCUAAAUGCAGCACUAACCUUUGAUGAUCUUCAUCAGAUGACACACCUAGGACAUUAUGUUAUACAAUACAUGCAUGUUUUGUUCAAUCAAGUUCAUAUUUAUAUCAAAAACCAGCUUUUUACAUUAGCAUGUGACGUUCAGAACUAGCAUAACCCCCGCAAACUUCCGGUGAAUUUACUAACAAUUUACUAAAUUACUCACGAUAAACGUUCACAAAAAGCAUAACAAUUAUUUUAAGAAUUAUAGAUACAGAACUCCUCUAUGCACUCGAUAUGUCCGAUUGUAAAAUAGCUUUUCGGUGAAAGCACAUUUUGCAAUAUUCUAAGUAGAUAGCCCGGCAUCACAGGGCUAGCUAUUUAGACACCCAGCAAGUUUAGCCUUCACCAAACUCCGAUUUACUAUUAGAAAAGUUUGAUUACCUUUCCUGUUCUUCGUCAGAAUGCACUCCCAGGACUUCUACUUCAAUAACAAAUGUUGGUUUGGUCCAAAAUAAUCCAUAGUUAUGUUCCAACAGCGGCGUUUUGUUCGUGCGUUCAAGACACUAUCCGAAUGGUAAAUAAGGGUCACGCGCACGGCGCAUUUCGUGACAAAAGAUUUCAAAAUAUUUCAUUACCGUACUUCGAAGCAUGUCAACCGCUGUUUAAAAUACAUUUUUAUGCCAUUUUUCUCGUAAAAAAGCGAUAAUAUUCCGACCAGGAAUCUGCAAUUAGGUAAACAGCCGAAAGAAAAUACAGCAUGGGGUCGACUUGGGCACGCGCCUUAUUCCUUUGUCCUCUGAUCGGCCACUUGGCAAAGGCGAUAGUGUGUUUCAGCCUGGGGCUGCCUCGAUAUCAUUCAGCUUUUUCCCGGGCUCUGAGAGCCUAUGGGAGCCGUAGGAAGUGUCACGUUACAGCUAAGAUCCUCACUCUUCAAUAAACAGAGACAAGAAGAACGACACCUUGUCAGACAGGCCACUUCCUGCAUGAAAUAUUCUCAGGUUUUUGCCUGCCAUAUGAGUUCUGUUAUACUCACAGACACCAUUCAAACAGUUUUAGAAACUUUAGGGUGUUUUCUAUCCAAAGCCAAUAAUUAUAUGCAUAUUCUAGUUACUGGACAGGAGUAGUAACCAGAUUAAAUCGGGUACGUUUUUUAUCCGGCCGUGUAAAUACUGCCCCCUAGCCCUAACAGGUUAAAAAAUGCUCCCGCUGUCUUCCAAUCCUUUG
Molecule: long non-coding RNA, 4691 nt
Organism: Salmo trutta (river trout)
Lineage: Eukaryota; Metazoa; Chordata; Actinopteri; Salmoniformes; Salmonidae
Source: Ensembl